AAACAACUGCUUCCAUUCUAUUUCUCACAAUUGAAUGGUUUAGUUCUACACAAUUUAUUAAACAAUUAUUCAGAGAAAGGCCCCUCAAUGACACCGUUUGCUUCUAACUUCUCCAUCACUUUUUGGUACGUCAUGUUUAAAUUUUGCAAUGGAAUACUUGAUCCUUUCUUAUGAUCUUGUUGCUAACUCAAAUGGACAUCUCUUAUAUUGCUAAUUACAGAAAUUUAUAAGCACAUACUUAAUAUUGCUCUCCUGUCAUGAAGAAACAACCCACCAAUAGCGGUUUCCUGAGUGUUCCAUGGUGCAUGCAUUUUUCUUUUGAUUUUUGUUUCAGUGCAAUAAACAAUUCUUUAGUGAUUUUAUAUUUAUCCAUUGUUUCUAUUAUAUCCUUCAUUUCUUUCCUAUUAUGUUCUCAACAAAAAUUUGUUCUUCAAUUUUGCCUUCAUUAUUGUAGGGGAGGCGUGGCCUAGAUAGUGAGAUAGGGAACCAGGGACAUCGUGUCACAUUCUUUUUCUAGGGUAAUGUGCAACAGGUAAAAUACAAACACCAACUUCAGUGCUUGCAGGUCGGGUUUUUAUGUACGACACACUUCAGAAAGGAUUUGGUGACCGAUGAUUGGAAUCCCUAGAGAAAUGUUGUUUCUUUUGAGCAAUUAAAUGUUGUUGUUGACUUUUGUCUUCCACA
RNAcentral lists this long non-coding RNA (684 nucleotides) under Medicago truncatula (barrel medic). RNAcentral's name for it is "long non-coding RNA (MTRU_LNC006249)". The record is from RNAcentral. Lineage: Eukaryota; Viridiplantae; Streptophyta; Magnoliopsida; Fabales; Fabaceae.